RNAcentral lists this ribosomal RNA (598 nucleotides) under Amolops mantzorum (Kangting sucker frog). Its description in RNAcentral is "partial 16S ribosomal RNA". It matches the Rfam family "Bacterial large subunit ribosomal RNA", at positions 1027 to 2074 of the family's 2925-position model. The record is from RNAcentral. Lineage: Eukaryota; Metazoa; Chordata; Amphibia; Anura; Ranidae.
UUAUUUGAAACGGGAUACAACCCCUAAUACUGGGUUAAAUCUAGUAUAUCAAAUAAAGUGGGCCUAAAAGCAGCCAUCUUCCAAAAAGCGUUAAAGCUUAACAUAUUGUAUCUACAAUUCCACAAUUUUUACUUAACCCUUCAUCACUACUGAACUAUUUUAUACCCCUAUAAAAGUCAUUAUGCUAGAACUAGUAACAAGAAAUUGCCCUUCUCCAAAAUGUAUGUUUAAACCAAAAUGGACACUCCACUGGUAGUUAACGUAAAUGUAAAAAUCAUAGCACCAUAUACUAGAAAACCCUAUGACUCCCACGUCAACCUUACACUAGAACAUUACAGGAAAGAUUAAAAGAGAAAGAAGGAACUCGGCAAACCACAGUCCCGCCUGUUUACCAAAAACACCGCCUCUUGCUCAAAUAUAAGAGGUCCAGCCUGCCCAGUGACAUAGUUUAACGGCCGCGGUACCCUAACCGUGCGAAGGUAGCAUAAUCACUUGUUCUUUAAAUAAGGACUCGUAUCAACGGCAUCACGAGGGCUGUACUGUCUCCUUUCUCCAAUCAGUGAAACUGAUCUCCCCGUGAAGAAGCGGGGAUUGACCU